RNAcentral lists this ribosomal RNA (443 nucleotides) under uncultured prokaryote. RNAcentral's name for it is "bacterial SSU rRNA". It matches the Rfam family "Bacterial small subunit ribosomal RNA", at positions 355 to 796 of the family's 1533-position model. The record is from RNAcentral.
UAGGGAAUAUUGGUCAAUGGGCGAGAGCCUGAACCAGCCAUGCCGCGUGCAGGACGACGGCCUUCUGGGUUGUAAACUGCUUUUAUACAGGAAUAAAAAGGCCCUGCGGGGCAAAUUGCAUGUACUGUAUGAAUAAGCACCGGCUAACUCCGUGCCAGCAGCCGCGGUAAUACGGAGGGUGCAAGCGUUGUCCGGAUUUAUUGGGUUUAAAGGGUGCGUAGGCGGUUAUUUAAGUCAGUGGUGAAAACCCUGAGCUCAACUGAGGGCUUGCCAUUGAUACUGAAUAACUUGAUUACCGUAUAGGUAGGCGGAAUUCAUGGUGUAGCGGUGAAAUGCAUAGAUACCAUGAGGAACACCGAUAGGGAAGCCAGCUUACUAGACGGUCACUGACGCUGAGGUACGAAAGCGUGGGGAGCGAACAGGAUUAGAUACCCGCGUAGUCC